AGAGCGAACGGUGGAUGCCUUGGCUAGUAGAGGCGAUGAAAGACGUGCCAGGCUGCGAUAAGUCUCGGGGAGCCGUCAAGGGGCUUUGAUCCGGGAAUUUCUGAAUGGGGCAACCCAAUACAUAGCGAUAUGUGUUACCAUUAAUGGAGCCAACGCGGGGAACUGAAACAUCUAAGUACCCGCAGGAAGAGAAAUCAAUAGAGAUUACGCUAGUAGCGGCGAGCGAACGCGUAAGAGGGCAAACCACUAGUUUACUAGUGGGGUUGUAGGACCGCAACAUAGACUAGGAUCUGAUAAUAGAACAAUCUGGAAAGGUUAGGCAUAGAGGGUGAUACUCCCGUAUAUGAAAUCACAUCCUUACUUAGCGGUAUCCUGAGUAGGACGGGACACGUGAAAUCCUGUCUGAAGCCGGGUCGACCACGAUCCAACCCUAAAUACUACUACUAGACCGAUAGCGUACAAGUACCGUGAGGGAAAGGUGAAAAGAACGGCGGUGAGCCGAGUGAAAUAGAACCUGAAACCGUUUGCUUACAAUCAUUCAGAGCACUAUGCUAUGCUCUUUAAAAUUAAUCCAGCUUGGCUUUUUAGCCCUUUUUUAUGAAACUGCGACUGCGGCAGCCGGAUCCGGCUAGCCUUGCCUUGUUUCAUAAAAAAUCAUCUAAAAAUCCUGCGCAUUUGAAAUUCUAAAUUUUAAAUCUAAUAAAAUUCAUCAUAGAUAACACAAAUAGAAUUUUAUAGUCUAAAUUUAGAGAUAACGAUUAGCGAUUAGUUUUAAUGAGUAUAGCAGUGUGAUGGACUGCCUUUUGCAUAAUGAGCCUGCGAGUUGUGGUGUCUGGCGAGGUUAAGGAAACCCGGAGCCGUAGCGAAAGCGAGUCUUAAUAGGGCGAUUAGUCAGAUGCUGCAGACCCGAAACGAUGUGAUCUAUCCAUGAGCAGGUUGAAGCCGGUGUAAGAGCCGGUGGAGGACCCAACCGACGGCCGUUGAAAAGGCUCCGGAUGACUUGUGGAUAGGGGUGAAAGGCCAAUCAAACAUCGUGAUAGCUGGUUCUCUCCGAAAUAUAUUGAGGUAUAGCGUCGUGUAGUAGUUAUAAGGGGUAGAGCACUGAAUGGGCUAGGGCAUACACCAAUGUACCAAACCCUAUCAAACUCCGAAUACUUAUAGCGUAACCACGGCAGUCAGGCGGCGAGUGAUAAAAUCCGUCGUCAAGAGGGAAACAACCCGGACUAACAGCUAAGGUCCCCAAAUCUCAUUUAAGUGGAAAACGAUGUGAAGUUACUGAAACAACCAGGAGGUUGGCUUAGAAGCAGCCAUCCUUUAAAGAUAGCGUAAUAGCUCACUGGUCUAGUGAUUUUGCGCGGAAAAUAUAACGGGGCUAAAAUGAGUACCGAAGCUUUAGACUUGCACUUAAUCAUUUAUACUUGGCUUGGCUUUUGAGCGUCUUUAAAUGAGCUCGUAAAAAUAAAUGCUCACGAACUAUAUGUUCGCUCCGCUUUAUUUUUACGUCGCAACAUUUAAAUCCAUCUCAAAAAUCCUACGCCAUCUUGAGUUCAAAUUUGAACUAAACGUCUUAAUCUAAAUUUAGAAAUUUCAAAUUUCUUAGAAUUUUAAAAUUUAGCAACAAAAGCAAAAAAAUAAGCCGCAAGAAAAGUAUAAAUCAUUAAGUGCAAGUGGUAGGAGAGCGUUCCAAUCAGCGUCGAAGCCGUACCGGUAAGGAGCGGUGGAGCGGUUGGAAGUGAGCAUGCAGGCAUGAGUAGCGAUAAAAUACGUGAGAAUCGUAUUCGCCGUAAACCCAAGGUUUCCUACGCGAUGCUCGUCAUCGUAGGGUUAGUCGGGUCCUAAGCAAAGUCCGAAAGGGGUAUGCGAUGGAAAAUCGGUUAAUAUUCCGAUACCGAUAUCAGUGUGCGACGGAAGGACGCUUAAAGUUAGUGGAGCUAGCGGAUGGAAGUGCUAGUCUAAGGAAGUAGGUUGAGUUAUAGGCAAAUCCGUAACUCUUUAUCCGAGAUCUGAAAGGCUUCUGACGCUCUUCGGAGUAGAUGAAGAAUCCAUGAUACUAUCGAGCCGAGAAAAGUUUCUAAGUUUAGCUGAUAUCGCCCGUACCGUAAACCGACACAGGUGGGUGGGAUGAGUAUUCUAAGGCGCGUGGAAGAACUCUCUUUAAGGAACUCUGCAAAAUAGCACCGUAUCUUCGGUAUAAGGUGUGCCUAGCUUCGUUAAGAAUUUACUUCGUAAGCGAAGAAGGUUACAACAAAGAGUCCCUCCCGACUGUUUACCAUAAACACAGCACUCUGCUAACUCGUAAGAGGAUGUAUAGGGUGUGACGCCUGCCCGGUGCUCGAAGGUUAAUUGAUGAUGUUAGCUUACGCAAAGCAUCUGAUCGAAGCCCGAGUAAACGGCGGCCGUAACUAUAACGGUCCUAAGGUAGCGAAAUUCCUUGUCGGUUAAAUACCGACCUGCAUGAAUGGCGUAACGAGAUGGGAGCUGUCUCAAAGAGGGAUCCAGUGAAAUUGUAGUGGAGGUGAAAAUUCCUCCUACCCGCGGCAAGACGGAGAGACCCCGUGGACCUUUACUAUAGCUUGACACUGCUACUUGGAUAAAGAUGCGCAGGAUAGGUGGGAGGCUUCGAUUCGUAGAUCUCGGUUUACGAUGAGCCAUUGUUGAGAUACCACUCUUCUUUAUUCGGGUAGCUAACUAGCCUAAGUUAUCCUUAGGUAGGACAAUGUCUGGUGGGUAGUUUGACUGGGGCGGUCGCCUCCCAAAAUGUAACGGAGGCUUACAAAGGUUGGCUCAAAGCGGUUGGAAAUCGCUUGCAGAGUAUAAAGGCAAAAGCCAGCUUAACUGCGAGACAUACACGUCGAGCAGAGACGAAAGUCGGUCUUAGUGAUCCGGUGGUUCUGUGUGGAAGGGCCAUCGCUCAAAGGAUAAAAGGUACCCCGGGGAUAACAGGCUGAUCUCCCCCAAGAGCUCACAUCGACGGGGAGGUUUGGCACCUCGAUGUCGGCUCAUCGCAUCCUGGGGCU
This 3017-nucleotide ribosomal RNA is filed under the name human oral metagenome. Its description in RNAcentral is "bacterial LSU rRNA". It matches the Rfam family "Bacterial large subunit ribosomal RNA", at positions 14 to 2554 of the family's 2925-position model. The record is from RNAcentral.